Molecule: ribosomal RNA, 429 nt
Filed under: Chloroflexota bacterium
Lineage: Bacteria; Bacillati; Chloroflexota
Also listed under: 1 other name
Description: Chloroflexi bacterium partial 16S ribosomal RNA
Rfam family: Bacterial small subunit ribosomal RNA
Source: RNAcentral
UAGGGAAUCUUCGGCAAUGGACGAAAGUCUGACCGAGCAACGCCGCGUGAGUGAAGAAGGUUUUCGGAUCGUAAAACUCUGUUGUUAGAGAAGAACAAGGACGUUAGUAACUGAACGUCCCCUGACGGUAUCUAACCAGAAAGCCACGGCUAACUACGUGCCAGCAGCCGCGGUAAUACGUAGGUGGCAAGCGUUGUCCGGAUUUAUUGGGCGUAAAGCGAGCGCAGGCGGUUUCUUAAGUCUGAUGUGAAAGCCCCCGGUUCAACCGGGGAGGGUCAUUGGAAACUGGGAGACUUGAGUGCAGAAGAGGAGAGUGGAAUUCCAUGUGUAGCGGUGAAAUGCGUAGAUAUAUGGAGGAACACCAGUGGCGAAGGCGGCUCUCUGGUCUGUAACUGACGCUGAGGCUCGAAAGCGUGGGGAGCAAACAGG